CCUCCCAGACUCGGGAGGUGACGUGUGCAGGGAGUCCCCGGGCUCCUCCUCCUCCCCCCUGCAGCCGGAAGGAGACAAGGCUGUGAUGCGGGGGAGAAGGAGGAGGGGGGCCGCACCAGCAGGCAGCAGCAGCUCAGACUGAAUCAGAGUCGCACUGUGUCGAUAUCCAUGCAACAGCCAACGUUUUUCUUCGGCACACGUGCCCGAGUCGCACUGCGCAAUCGUCCCACUUUUGUUCUUAAAGAGGCGCAGGUCGGAAUGAAAUGCACAGUAUCAGAAAGCCGAUUUGUGUCUGUUUAUGUUGGGGAUAAGAUACGUGAAAUGAACAGAACCAGAAUCAGGAUUUGGGAGCU
Pseudophryne corroboree (corroboree frog) is the source of this 353-nucleotide long non-coding RNA. RefSeq lists it as uncharacterized. Lineage: Eukaryota; Metazoa; Chordata; Amphibia; Anura; Myobatrachidae. The transcript has 3 exons. The record is from RefSeq and is a predicted model, not a curated record.